UGGGGAAUAUUGCACAAUGGGCGAAAGCCUGAUGCAGCAACGCCGCGUGAGUGAUGAAGGCCUUCGGGUUGUAAAGCUCUGUCUUUUGGGACGAUAAUGACGGUACCAAAGGAGGAAGCCAACGGCUAACUACGUGCCAGCAGCCGCGGUAAUACGUAGGUGGCAAGCGUUGUCCGGAUUUACUGGGCGUAAAGGAUGCGUAGGCGGAUUUUUAAGUGAGAUGUGAAAUACCCGGGCUUAACUUGGGUGCUGCAUUUCAAACUGGGAAUCUAGAGUGCGGGAGAGGAGAAUGGAAUUCCUAGUGUAGCGGUGAAAUGCGUAGAGAUUAGGAAGAACACCAGUGGCGAAAGGCGAUUCUCUGGACCGUAACUGACGCUGAGGCAUGAAAGCGUGGGUAGCAAACAGGAUUAGAUACCCUGGUAGUCCACGCCGUAAACGAUGAGUACUAGGUGUAGGAGGUAUCGACCCCUUCUGUGCCGCAGUUAACACAAUAAGUACUCCGCCUGGGAAGUACGAUCGCAAGAUUAAAAACUCAAAGGAAUUGAC
Molecule: ribosomal RNA, 546 nt
Filed under: uncultured bacterium
Lineage: Bacteria
Description: partial 16S ribosomal RNA
Rfam family: Bacterial small subunit ribosomal RNA
Source: RNAcentral